RNAcentral lists this ribosomal RNA (572 nucleotides) under Scolopsis ciliata. RNAcentral describes it as "partial 16S ribosomal RNA". It matches the Rfam family "Bacterial large subunit ribosomal RNA", at positions 1819 to 2597 of the family's 2925-position model. Lineage: Eukaryota; Metazoa; Chordata; Actinopteri; Spariformes; Nemipteridae. The record is from RNAcentral.
CCUCUUGCAAAACACACAUAAGAGGUCCCGCCUGCCCAGUGACUGUUUGUUAAGCGGCCGCGGUAUCCUGACCGUGCCAAGGUAGCGCAAUCACUUGCCCUUUAAAUGGGGGCCCGUAUGAAUGGCACCACGAGGGCUAAGCUGUCUCCUUUUUCAGGUCAAUGAAAUUGAUCUCCCCGUGCAGAAGCGGGGAUAUAAUCAUAAGACGAGAAGACCCUGUGGAGCUUUAGACUUUAAGACUGACCCAUUCCCCACCUUGAUAACCCCUGGCUGAAACAUGGGAUACCGUCUGACUAUCUUUGGUUGGGGCGACCGUGGGGAUUAACAGAACCCCCAUGUGGACCGAGUGCCUACGCACUCAAAACCAAGAGUUACCACUCUAGUUAACAGAACUUCUGACUUACAAAUGAUCCGACAAAGUCGAUCAACGAACCGAGUUACCCCAGGGAUAACAGCGCAAUCCUCUUUGAGAGUUCAUAUCGACAAGGGGGUUUACGACCUCGAUGUUGGAUCAGGACAUCCCAAUGGCGCAGCAACUAUUAAGGGUUCGUUUGUUCAACGAUUAAAGUCCU